Molecule: ribosomal RNA, 498 nt
Filed under: uncultured bacterium
Lineage: Bacteria
Description: partial 16S ribosomal RNA
Rfam family: Bacterial small subunit ribosomal RNA
Source: RNAcentral
AUUGAACGCUGGCGGCAUGCUUUACACAUGCAAGUCGAACGGUAACAGGCCGCAAGGUGCUGACGAGUGGCGAACGGGUGAGUAAUGCAUCGGAACGUGCCCAGCGGUGGGGGAUAACUGCUCGAGAAAGCAGCUAAUCCCGCAUACGAUCUCUGGAUGAAAGCGGGGGACUGUAAGGCCUCGCGCGAUUGGAUCGGCCGAUGUCAGAUUAGGUAGUGGGUGGGGUAAAGGCUAACCAAGCCAACGAUCUGUAGCUGGUCUGAGAGGACGACCAGCCACACUGGGGCUGGGACACGGCCCAGACUCCUACGGGAGGCAGCAGUGGGGAAUUUUGGACAAUGGGGGCAACCCUGAUCCAGCAGUGCCGCGUGCAGGAAGAAGGCCUUCGGGUUGUAAACUGCUUUUGUACGGAACGAAACGGUCUGGGUUAAUACCCUGGGCUAAUGACGGUACCGUAAGAAUAAGCACCGGCUAACUACGUGCCAGCCGCCGCGGUAA